AUGAAUGUUACUCUAGCGCCUGUGGACCGUGUCUGUGCAGUCGUAUUCUUUUAUGAUAUACUGGUGUUCAGUGCUACCUUAGAGGAACAUGUGCAGCACCUCAAGCAAGUUUUGCAACUACUCAGGCAACAUCAGUGGAGAGUUAAAGAGUCAAAGUGUGCAUUCGCCCAGCGUAGCAUAUCCUAUCUGGGCUUUGUGGUCAGUGGGAAUGGAGUGUCAACAAACCCAGCUAAGGUGCAAGCGGUCCUUGAGUGGCCAGUGCCCCAAUCUGUUAAGGAGCUUCAAGGGUUUCUUGGACUUUCAGGGUGCUACAGGAAAUUUGUGCGCAAUUAUGGUGUUAUCAGUCAGCCCUUGACUCAUCUUCUGCGCAAGAAUGUACCCUUUGUAUGGUCUACAACAACACAGACUGCUUUUGAAGUGUUGAAAAAGGCUCUAACAUCAGCACAUGUACUUGCUUUGCCAGAUUUCAAGGUUCAGUUUGUUGUUGAAACUAAUGCUAGUGACACUGGAGUAGGUGCAGUGUUGUUACAGAAGGGACAUCCAAUAACAUUUGUCAGUAAGGGCUUGGGACCAAAGAAUCGUGGAUUGUCCACUUAUGAGAAGGAAUACAUGGCGAUUUUAUUGGCUGUUGAAUAG
This 636-nucleotide ribosomal RNA is filed under the name Triticum aestivum (bread wheat). RNAcentral's name for it is "partial small subunit ribosomal RNA". Lineage: Eukaryota; Viridiplantae; Streptophyta; Magnoliopsida; Poales; Poaceae. The record is from RNAcentral.